Phascolarctos cinereus (koala) is the source of this 716-nucleotide long non-coding RNA. RefSeq lists it as uncharacterized. The record is from RefSeq and is a predicted model, not a curated record. NCBI's taxonomy places the organism in Eukaryota, Metazoa, Chordata, Mammalia, Diprotodontia, Phascolarctidae.
GGGGCUUUCUAGCUGGGGAGACAGAGAGAAGUUUGGGGGAAGGGGGCUCAGGUUAGCAGCUGUUUAAAAAUGCGCUGGUGGCAGCUUUGGGGUCCCAGUGGCAGUUUAUAGUUUGAAGGAAAGGGAUGGAUGGCCUCUUUUCCCAUCCCAAUCCAAGUCCCCCCUCCCCCCACCCUCCAGCUGAAUGCCAGAUGCAGCCCAUCCCGCCUGGGUGGGACCAGGAUGGAGCUAAGGCCAUGACCUUGACCGCAGAGCUCUACCAUUCCAUGUCCACUGCCAGUUACUUGGGAUGAAAGUGAAGAAAUACUUUUAGCUUUGGCAUUGCUGUGUGGCAUCUUCAGACUGGAAAAGUUGGAGCAAUUUUCAGGGAGAAAACUAAGCAAGACAUUCAAAGACUAAAGACGAAUCAGCCGGGUGCUGUGAAAAGAGCCAUGAAGUUUAGAGUCAGACUGGAAGACAUGGAUGCAAGUUCUACUACUUUUACUCGAAGAAAUAAACCGUGUGCAAAUCAGUUUCCCCUUCUCUGAGGCCUCAGGCUUCUCAUCUGAAAGAUGGGAACAAUAAUAAUAAUAAUAAUAUUGGCAUUCUCUACUCUGGAGAGUUGUUGUAAGGACCAAGUGAGACUUGCCAAUGUGAUGCGUUUUAUAAAAUGCUACAAAAAUAGGAACUUUUUUUCUUAAUAAAGAUGGCAGAUACCAUUCUCAAGACACUCAUAA